CCUACGGGAUGCAGCAGUCGAGAAUCAUUCACAAUGGGGGAAACCCUGAUGGUGCGACGCCGCGUGGGGGAAUGAAGGUCUUCGGAUUGUAAACCCCUGUCAUGUGGGAGCAAAUUAAAAAGAUAGUACCACAAGAGGAAGAGACGUCUAACUCUGUGCCAGCAGCCGAGGUAAUACAGAGGUCUCAAGCGUUGUUCGGAAUCACUGGGCGUAAAGCGUGCGUAGGCUGUUUCGUAAGUCGUGUGUGAAAGGCGCGGGCACACCCCACGGACGGCACAUGAUACUGCGAGACUAGAGUAAUGGAGGGGGAAGCGGAAUUCUCGGUGUAGCAGUGAAAUGAGUAGAUAUCGGGAGGAACACUCGUGGCGAAGGCGGGUUCCUGGACAUUAACUGACGCUGAGGCACGAAGGCCAGGGGAGCGAAAGGGAUUAGAUACCCCAGUAGUC
Molecule: ribosomal RNA, 446 nt
Filed under: uncultured bacterium
Lineage: Bacteria
Description: partial 16S ribosomal RNA
Rfam family: Bacterial small subunit ribosomal RNA
Source: RNAcentral